Molecule: long non-coding RNA, 559 nt
Organism: Sciurus carolinensis (gray squirrel)
Lineage: Eukaryota; Metazoa; Chordata; Mammalia; Rodentia; Sciuridae
Exons: 3
Source: RefSeq, a predicted model, not a curated record
AACUCUGCUCUGCUUUUCAAACCUCAUUCUUCUCAACUGCAGGGACUAUUUGGUUUCUAUUAUGUGUCUGGCCUUUCAUAUUCCCGAUGGUGCAUCUGAUGAAACCCAGUAGCCAGAUAUUCUGCUGUACUUGCAGAUAGCCAUGUCUGAAAAACAGCCUCAAGAAAUCUGGGAUAGCAGCAAACCUUCGACAAAUGUGAGAAAGUUUUCAAUGGAAGAUAGUUAUGGAAAGUAUUGUGAAAAAGUGAACACACUACAAAGGGAUUUGGAAGAAGAGAAUAUUCUCAGAAGACACAGGCACUGACACUACUUUGUGAGCCAGAAAAUCAUGGAAAGUUGCCCAUUCAUUAAACUUCUCCCAGAGAGGUUGCUCAUAUAAAGAACCUACCAUCAUUUAAUCUCACCUUUCUCUACCCUGCAAAGUGAGAAAUAUCAUAGCAAUUGGGCAAAAACAAUUCUGAGAGGCUAGGAAGAGACAAAGCUUGGAUUUGAAACAAAGAUCCACCCUUCAUCAACCUUGAACAGGCUACUAUUUUGCUGUAUGUGUAGCUGCAGAUGG